Molecule: long non-coding RNA, 552 nt
Organism: Anas platyrhynchos (mallard)
Lineage: Eukaryota; Metazoa; Chordata; Aves; Anseriformes; Anatidae
Source: RefSeq, a predicted model, not a curated record
AUGCCUAGCACGUCUAUUUACCCACUUAAAACAGGUGCAAGGGCAUGACAGAGCUGUUCAUAUAUGGCAAUCAAGGAAAUGACUUUAUUUCAGUAAUAAGCACACUGUACUUAUCCUGUUGCUAUGUCACACUGGAGAACACCAGAAUUUAUCACAUUUCGCAGAAGGGCAGCAGCAGCUUUCAGAAAGUUGGUGACCACCACCACUGCCUUCCUGCUAGCAGCUGAUAAAUGCUGGCAGCCCAUCCGCCAACUUUUGUGGCAGUCAAGUGGACCAGAGGAGCCGGGAACAGUGUUCAAACAUGCACACAAAGCUGGGGCAGGCGGGCAGGUGAGGCACCCCAGCAGCAGUUGGCCCUGUGCUCUGCACCUCUGAGGAUCCAGUCACGCUUACACAGCGGCUUGGCCUACGCUACGCUGGAUUCCAUUGUGGUGGAUUUCUCACAGGAGCAAGAAAGCUACCAUUCUGCCUCAACCUGCCAUGAGAGAAAAGUUCUCGCUUCAAUUACACCCAAACUCCUAAGAUCAGCUAAUACCAACCACACAUAGCACA